GCAACGCAUACAGCACCUUGUUAAUAGUUGAGUCAAAUUACAAACUUGCGCAAAUCUAAAACAUACACAAACUUAAUUAAACAUAAAAACAGAAAAGCCGUUCAGAGCCGUGUCGGUGACAUGGACGCCGCUGAUGGCAUGGAACAGCAUUUUGCUGUGCAUACGGCCGUGCCUGGGUUAGCCGUGUUGCAGCAGCUCCGGAUGGACCUCAGCCAGCAGCAGGCUCAAGAGCUGCU
RNAcentral lists this long non-coding RNA (236 nucleotides) under Volvox carteri. RNAcentral describes it as "long non-coding RNA (VCAR_LNC002487)". The record is from RNAcentral. Lineage: Eukaryota; Viridiplantae; Chlorophyta; Chlorophyceae; Chlamydomonadales; Volvocaceae.